UCGCGGAGCAGUCGAGCGGCUGGAGAGGUCCUACGCGACCACCUGGAAGGGGUUGAAGAGCCAUCGAGGACGAAGAAGGCUGCCCUCGCUCCGAGCCUCUGUCGCCCAUUUACCGGGCUGACUCGCGACUCGCCUCUUUCGAAAAUGUUACGGUUAACUUUCCUGCCUGAUGGAACAUCGACAAAUUGCUCAUCGACGAUCACACGAGCGGCAAAAGGGCGAGUGUUUCGCUAACCGACCGGGAAGAGGAAGUCGAACGGUUGGAGCCUCCCAAUUCACUGUUAUCUCGGUGAAAAAUUAAUACCAGCGUUGAUCCUCGAGCACAGAUAUCGCACGAUAUCCAACCCUUGACCACAACCGCUGAUCGGUCUAUCAUUUCGAUCGAGAAACGCAAUGGAGAAGCGGGCUCGCGGUCGGCGCAGAAAAGUCGUAAUUGCACCGAUUGCACAGCGGCUGGCCGUCAUUAACGCGGCCGCCAAAGGGCGGACCUAAGAGCUGACAGAGCCAACCUGACGGGAGGGAAGGACUAGAGAAUGACGCAGGGAAAGUAGGAAACGGAGGAAAUAAUAAUAUCGGAAAUAAAAACCUGUCAGAACGGGUAGAACAGAGGCACGUUUUUGGACUACAUCCUCUACAUGAAACGAUACAGACACGUCGGUCGAGCAGGUUACAAGAUUUCAUGUGUCCCACGUCCACUGAUGAACGCACGCUUCGGAGCAAAAUUAUGAUCGUACUUUGAACGGUGAUGUUCUGUUCCCUCUUCCGUUUCUUUGCGAAUUGGUCACGGUUUCGCAAAACGGUAAUCGCCAAACAAUUUCUCGGAAUAUCACGGACGAUCGAGGGCGUAAUGACGUCGCGGAAUCGCCUGCAGAAAGAUCGCGGGAAUUAAUUUACCCGGGUUAUGUUUGGCUGUCGUCGGGUGUCAGCCCCAAGGGCUACCCACUAAAAACACUCGUCCACCUAAGCUACAAGGGAAGGUUCAUGAAACCCUCAAAAGGCGACAACAUGCUCCCGAUUGCGUGAGGCUGACAAACAGUUGGGAGCAGAAUUGCGUUGCGGUUCGUCUGUCAUGUGUCUCGGAAAUCCGCCGCAUUUGUCUUUCCUUUCUUUCGGUCGUUGUUCUUCCCUUUUCAAUCUGGCUGGCCGAGGAAAUCACAGGAUCGCCGGUCGUCGAUGAUGCCCGAAGCGGCGGCAGGAGUAUCGACCAGGCACCAGCUGGCCGGAGCAGACCGGGAUCACGAAAUCCUUCGACGCGAGGAGUGCACGCGCGUGCAGGCCACGAUGCAUAAUGCGCCUAAUGCGUUUGCAACAUAUGGAGGAGCGGGCCGCGCGCGGUUUCCUUUGUAGGCCGAGGAACACGAGUUCGUGGUUUCUCGAUUUUACGUCGAGAUUAGCGGCGACCAUCCUUCCUCUGGCCACUUUUCAGCUGAAUCUUCGCCAAUCAAACGGUAAAUUCGAAUUUUGUGAAUUGCAACCGUAUCAUUGGAAACGGUAGAAAUUGGACGACCUGUUUGAAGAGGAUUUUUACGAUAUUGUUGCGACGGUUUGAAGAUGUAUCGUUGCGGCAGCGUGAAGAUAUUCCGCAACGAUGUGAAGCUGCUUCUUCGUACGAGCGAAAGAGAGGUCCUGAUGUUCCGGUUCCCAUUCAAGAGCCGGAAGUUAUUUGAAUAGCGAAAACAGUGACAUAGCUUGUGCAAUUCGGACGUUCCAAAA
Molecule: long non-coding RNA, 1713 nt
Organism: Hylaeus volcanicus
Lineage: Eukaryota; Metazoa; Arthropoda; Insecta; Hymenoptera; Colletidae
Exons: 4
Source: RefSeq, a predicted model, not a curated record